RNAcentral lists this unclassified non-coding RNA (1657 nucleotides) under Leishmania donovani. Its description in RNAcentral is "gene:LdHU3.02.0040(CDS-product:tagatose-6-phospha te_kinase-like_protein)". The record is from RNAcentral. Lineage: Eukaryota; Euglenozoa; Kinetoplastea; Trypanosomatida; Trypanosomatidae.
ACGCUCACCUUUGAUGAGCUUCGCGUCGAUGAGGUGAACCGCGCCACAACGGUGCACAGUUACACGGGUGGCAAGGGCACCAACUUCUGCCGCGCCUCUGCGUGCUACAAGGAAUGCCCGCACUUCUGCAGGACUGUAUUGCACACAUUUGUCGGUGGCAAGACAGGUGAGCGUGUGAUCGACCUGCUCCAUCAGGAGGGUAUCGCGGUUUAUGCUGUUACUGUGCCGGCAGAGACACGAACCUGCAUCACCUGCCUCGACACCCAGAACAGCACAAUGACGGAGCUGAUCGAGCCCUCGGCGGCUGUACCGGAAGAUGCUGCAAAGGAAAUGGACAGAGCACUCCUCAAGGCGCUCGAGCAUGCGGGUGGCAUGGCGAUCAUGGGCAGCUUGCCAGACGGCAGCAGCCCCGACCUCUACACCCGCUGGACGGAGAUGGCGGCGGCGGCGCAGAAGCCUGUUCUCAUCGACGCCGGCAAAGGGAUCGAGGCUUCGCUGAAGGUGCCAGGCGCCCACUCGAUCCUGAAAGUGAACAUGGAGGAGCUGAACAAGCUCACGGGUCAGUCCACACCGGAGAGUGCGUUCGAGUACGCUAUGCAAAUGUGGACAGUGCGUGUGCUGGCCGUCACCGAUGGCCCUCGCUCUGCGUAUAUCCAAGAGCGGGGCCGGCCUCUUCAAGUUAUCCACCUACCAAAAGUGGACGGCGUGGUGAGCCCGCUCGGGGCCGGCGACACGGCCGAUGCCGUUUUUCUCGCCGAGUACAUUCACGGCACAACCCCGUUAGAAGCGUUCCGGUUGGCCCUGGCUGCGGCGUCCGCCAACUGCCUUCGAAAGGAGGCCGCCGUCUUUGCGCAACAUGAGAUGAGGCGUAUCGCCGACGGCAUCACGAUCAGGUGAUCGCGCCGACACAGCUCGUCCACACGCGCAUGAUGGUGCCCCGCACAUGCCCACACCGCAGUCCCCCCCCCCCCCCCCAAAGUAAGGAGAACAAAAAGCUACACCCACGAGGAGAGCGCGGUUUGGGAAGAGGAGCAACACCCACAACGCAACGCCAGCGUCUCCUUCUACUCCCCCAGCUCUCUCUCUGUUUCGCGUGCUCUUCUUUGUUGGUUCUCCUCACCCAUCCGGCGCACUGCAUGCGCCCAUCCUUCCGCCUUGGUAGAUUGUGAUCCUCCAAUCCUCUCGCUCAUCCCCUUCUCCUCGCACCGUCAACCCUCUACAUGACGCACCCUGGGUAUGUGCGUGUGUGUGUAUGGUGCCGACAUGGUUACUCAAAAACAUCAGAGUCAGGCAGCUUCGCGGCAUGUUGCACGGCGGGACGCUCCCUCUAGCGCCGAGCCUCUCACCCAGCUACCCUUCACGCAUACACACAGUGGCUCGUCAGGGUAGGGGCGAGGAAUCGAAGCAGAGACAUGCAUGCGUCCCCUUCUCUGCCUUCCCCUGCUUCGAUUCCGUCCUGUGCUGCCUCUUUUCGACUUAUCUCAGGUGUGCCCCGCUCCACACCCACACCCACACACCCCUCCUCCUGCUCCGCUGACUCCGCAUCUCUUGCUCUCUCUCUCUGCACUACUUCCUACACACGCGGCCAACUCAUUACUUGUUGCUCCCGUAAUUACUCGUUUCCCAACCCAAACGCACCCGUGCAUCCACGCGCAAG